Molecule: ribosomal RNA, 444 nt
Filed under: uncultured Leptolinea sp.
Lineage: Bacteria; Bacillati; Chloroflexota; Anaerolineae; Anaerolineales; Anaerolineaceae
Description: bacterial SSU rRNA
Rfam family: Bacterial small subunit ribosomal RNA
Source: RNAcentral
GCACAAGCAGCGGAGCGUGUGGUUAAUUCGAGGCUACACGAAGAACCUUACCAGGGUUUGACAUGCAAGUGGUAGGAAUCCGAAAGGUGACCGACCCUUCGGGGAGCUUGCACAGGUGCUGCAUGGCUGUCGUCAGCUCGUGUCGUGAGAUGCUCGGUUAAGUCCGCUAACGAGCGCAACCCUCGUCGUGUGUUAUACGUGUCACACGAUACUGCCGGUAUCAAGCCGGAGGAAGGUGGGGAUGAUGUCAAGUCAGCAUGGCCUUUAUAUCCUGGGCUACACACACGCUACAAUGGCAGAUACAAUAGGUUGCGAAACCGCGAGGUGGAGCCAAUCCUCAAAGUCUGUCUCAGUUCAGAUUGUAGGCUGCAACUCGCCUGCAUGAAGUCGGAAUCGCUAGUAAUCGCAGGUCAGCAUACUGCGGUGAAUACGUUCCCGGGCCUU